RNAcentral lists this transfer RNA (76 nucleotides) under Candidatus Altimarinota bacterium. RNAcentral's name for it is "tRNA-Lys". It matches the Rfam family "tRNA". From Rfam's summary of the family: Transfer RNA (tRNA) molecules are approximately 80 nucleotides in length. Their secondary structure includes four short double-helical elements and three loops (D, anti-codon, and T loops). Further hydrogen bonds mediate the characteristic L-shaped molecular structure. tRNAs have two regions of fundamental functional importance: the anti-codon, which is responsible for specific mRNA codon recognition, and the 3' end, to which the tRNAs corresponding amino acid is attached (by aminoacyl-tRNA synthetases). tRNAs cope with the degeneracy of the genetic code in two manners: having more than one tRNA (with a specific anti-codon) for a particular amino acid; and 'wobble' base-pairing, i.e. permitting non-standard base-pairing at the 3rd anti-codon position. Lineage: Bacteria; Candidatus Altimarinota. The record is from RNAcentral.
GGGUCAAUAGCUCAGUCGGUAGAGCAGUCGCCUCUUAAGCGAAUGGUCGCAGGUUCGAUCCCUGCUUGACCCACCA